Molecule: ribosomal RNA, 253 nt
Filed under: uncultured bacterium
Lineage: Bacteria
Description: partial 16S ribosomal RNA
Rfam family: Bacterial small subunit ribosomal RNA
Source: RNAcentral
UACGUAGGUGGCAAGCGAUACUCGGAAUCACCAGGCGUAAAGCGCAGGUAGGAGGUUUGGUAAGUCUGUUGUGAAAGCUCCCGGCUUAACUGGGAGAGGUCAACGGAAACUACUAGGCUAGAGUGCGGUAGAGGUAGCUGGAAUUCCCGGUGUAGCGGUGAAAUGCGUAGAUAUCGGGAGGAAUACCUAUGGCGAAAGCAGGCUACUGGACCGUCACUGACUCUGAUCUGCGAAAGCUAGGGGAGCAAACAGG